Molecule: ribosomal RNA, 269 nt
Filed under: uncultured Pelotomaculum sp.
Lineage: Bacteria; Bacillati; Bacillota; Clostridia; Eubacteriales; Desulfotomaculaceae
Description: partial 16S ribosomal RNA
Rfam family: Bacterial small subunit ribosomal RNA
Source: RNAcentral
AGUUGCUAACAGGUGAAGCUGAGCACUCUAGACGAACUGCCGUUGACAAAACGGAGGAAGGUGGGAUGACGUCAAAUCAUCAUGCCCCUUAUGUUCUGGGCUACACACGUGCUACAAUGGCCGGUACAGACGGAGGCGAAGCCGCGAGGCGGAGCAAAUCCGAAAAAGCCGGUCUCAGUUCGGAUUGCAGGCUGCAAUUCGCCUGCAUGAAGUCGGAAUCGCUAGUAAUCGCAGGUCAGCAUACUGCGGUGAAUACGUUCCCGGGCCUU